UACGGGGGGGGCAAGCGUUGUUCGGAAUUACUGGGCGUAAAGGGCUCGUAGGUGGCCAACUAAGUCAGACGUGAAAUCCCCAGGCUCAACUUGGGAACUGCGUCUGAUACUGGAUGGCUUGAAUUCGGGAGAGGGAUGCAGAAUUCCAGGUGUAGCGGUGAAAUGCGUAGAUAUCUGGAGGAACACCGGUGGCGAAGGCGACAUCCUGGACCGGUAUUGACGCUGAGGCGCGAAAGCCAGGGGAGCAAACGGG
RNAcentral lists this ribosomal RNA (253 nucleotides) under uncultured bacterium. Its description in RNAcentral is "partial 16S ribosomal RNA". It matches the Rfam family "Bacterial small subunit ribosomal RNA", at positions 524 to 776 of the family's 1533-position model. The record is from RNAcentral.